UUGUGACUUAGUGGCGGACGGGUGAGUAACGCGUGGGUAACCUGCCUCACACAGGGGGAUAACAGUUGGAAACGACCGCUAAUACCGCAUAACCCGCUAGGGCCGCAUGGCCCGGACGGAAAAGAUUUAUCGGUGUGAGAUGGACCCGCGUUGGAUUAGCUAGUUGGCAGGGUAACGGCCUACCAAGGCGACGAUCCAUAGCCGGCCUGAGAGGGUGACGGCCACAUUGGGACUGAGACACGGCCCAA
This 248-nucleotide ribosomal RNA is filed under the name uncultured bacterium. RNAcentral's name for it is "partial 16S ribosomal RNA". It matches the Rfam family "Bacterial small subunit ribosomal RNA", at positions 85 to 334 of the family's 1533-position model. The record is from RNAcentral.